AACGAACGCUGGCGGCAUGCCUAACACAUGCAAGUCGAACGAGACCUUCGGGUCUAGUGGCGCACGGGUGCGUAACGCGUGGGAACCUGCCCUUAGGUUCGGAAUAACUCCCCGACAGGGGUGCUAAUACCGGAUAAUGUCUUCGGACCAAAGAUUUAUCGCCUUUGGAUGGGCCCGCGUUGGAUUAGCUAGUUGGUAGGGUAAAAGCCUACCAAGGCGACGAUCCAUAGCUGGUCUGAGAGGAUGAUCAGCCACACUGGGACUGAGACACGGCCCAGACUCCUACGGAAGGCAGCAGUGGUGAAUAUUGGACAAUGGGCGAAAGCCUGAGCCAGCAAUGCCGCGUGAGUGAUGAAGGCCUUAGGGUUGUAAAGCUCUUUUACCCGGGAUGAUAAUGACAGUACCGGGAGAAUAAGCUCCGGCUAACUCCGU
Molecule: ribosomal RNA, 432 nt
Filed under: uncultured bacterium
Lineage: Bacteria
Description: partial 16S ribosomal RNA
Rfam family: Bacterial small subunit ribosomal RNA
Source: RNAcentral